GGCGAACGCUGGCGGCGUGCUUAACACAUGCAAGUCGAACGGAAAGGCCCUGCUUUUGUGGGGUGCUCGAGUGGCGAACGGGUGAGUAACACGUGAGUAACCUGCCCUUGACUUUGGGAUAACUUCAGGAAACUGGGGCUAAUACCGGAUAGGAGCUCCUGCUGCAUGGUGGGGGUUGGAAAGUUUCGGCGGUUGGGGAUGGACUCGCGGCUUAUCAGCUUGUUGGUGGGGUAGUGGCUUACCAAGGCUUUGACGGGUAGCCGGCCUGAGAGGGUGACCGGCCACAUUGGGACUGAGAUACGGCCCAGACUCCUACGGGAGGCAGCAGUGGGGAAUAUUGCACAAUGGGCGGAAGCCUGAUGCAGCAACGCCGCGUGCGGGAUGACGGCCUUCGGGUUGUAAACCGCUUUCGCAUGUGACGAAGCGUGAGUGACGGUAAUGGGUAAAGAAGCACCGGCUAACUACGUG
This 468-nucleotide ribosomal RNA is filed under the name uncultured bacterium. RNAcentral describes it as "partial 16S ribosomal RNA". It matches the Rfam family "Bacterial small subunit ribosomal RNA", at positions 28 to 507 of the family's 1533-position model. The record is from RNAcentral.